CUGGCAUUAUUGUCUAUUGUUUAAACAUGUGAGGAUUUAGAGAUAAACAAAAGUGAACACAGUCCUUGCCAUUACAGGGCUUACAAUCUAGUUCCAAGUAGAGAGAGGCCUGGACAAAGACCCAAAGGCAGAAAAACACAGAUGUGUUCAUAGAAUAGAGAGAGAACAUCUUGGUCAGAUUGUAAUGGGCAAAGGAGAAAGUUGGAGAGAGACUGGAACACCAAGCAGGGCUUUGGAAGUCAUGGUGUGGAUCUCAGAUUUUAUUUUAAAGACGGGAGGCCAAUAAAGGUAAAAGGGGGAAUGAUGUGGUUACUGGAGCAGAACAUGAGUUCAGUAAAUGUGGCUUGGGAUUGUUAGAAUACUGAUGCUGGACUGAUGGAUGAAGGCUGUGAGUCCCUUCUGUGGCCUGGGGCCAAAGCUUUCUAGGUGUCCAAGCUCUGGUCCAGUGAGGUGUGUGGAGGACCCACCCAUCCAUCAGGGUUCCUGUAGCCCAGUGAGGCCAUAGAGACCCACUCUAUCCACUGCCUGGAAGAAGGGGCUUACUGCUCCGGAGGCAGAUGAGCCUUGAAGAGAGAGAUCCUCCAGUGAGCAGGAUGCAGGCCCCCUCCAUUCUGCGAGAUGAGAAAGCAGUGUGGGAGUCUCCUGGAUGUCUGCGACCCCAGUGCCCAGGAUUGGCCCUGCUUACUCCUGGAGACUGCUGCUCCCCCUUCCCCGUGAUCAAGGGGAUUCCAGAGUUGAGAGAAUCCCAAGAGGAUCACCUCACCUCUUGGAUGCUGUCAGGAUGUCCUGAAGAGUAAGCCUAAGGACAGAAGAAGAGGGAAGACCCGCCUUCAGGCAGCCUGGGGAGGAUACACUUGGUGUCUCAUCAGAACUCUCCAGGCUGGUUGCACUGGAGUGAGUGGCUGAUGUGUGAGUGGCAGCUCUAUUGCUGCCUCAAUGGCGACCAAGCAGCGCCAUUUCUGAGCCUGUUUCCCCAGAGCUCACAAGCCUCCCAAGAGAAGUCAUCUAGAGAACUUGACCCUCUGUUCUCCUCUACCAUCUCCCACUCCUGCCUCUAUGGGAACUCCAGUCUCCAGAUGUGGGGUAAUGUUGUGACAAAGAACAUCUGUUUGGGAAGCUGGCCCCAGGGCUGAGGGUGAUGGGGUGAUGGCAGGCUCCAGGCGGCUCAAGGUUGACAUAGGGCAGCAGGACCUUCUGGGGGCUGAUGCCCAGCAGUGUCUCAAGGCCUGGAACCUGGGAAUAGUCAGACUCUUCUGUAAAACAGAUCUCUUGGAGGUGUCAGGGCCAGGGAGUAGGAGUCCUCCCUGGGAACCUUGGUGGGCACAAGGCGGGCUCCAGGUAGAGUAUUACAGCCCACUCAGGGCAAGGGGUCCUCUAUGUAAAUGCAGGCUGAGAUUUCGGAAACAGCUGGAAUGGGAGGUGAGAGGCUCUGCCGCUCCAACCCUCCCAGGGGGAGCCCAUAUUACAGAAAGGAACAGCUCUCACUCGAUCAGAUUCAGGGAGCCCCUGAGAUUCUGCCCAGACACAAAGACCUGAGCCACGACCUCCGUAUCCCAUUGGUACGACCUUCUCCCCUCGCCCAAUUCAGACUUCAUGCAGGACCACCUUCAUUCUCCCAGCUUGGAGGAGAUACAGAGAAAGCACCCGAAGGCGAAAAUAAGGAGGGCUGUUGUGUUGGACAAAGCGUCGCGGACUCGUAUUCCCAGCCCCAGUGGGAGGUCCUGGAGCCGAUUGAAAAUGGGGAGCCUGAGACGAGGAAGGGCGCGGGACGAGGCCAAGGACUGGGCGGGAUAUGGCGGGUAGCCGGAGCCUGAGAGUAGGAGUGGACCGGGUUUAUCCUUAGGGGCGGGGACUGCGAAUUAGAGGGGGGCCAGGGAAGAGCAGGGGCGGAGGCACUAGGUGGGUGGGGCCAGCUGGGUGGGGGAGGGGCCAGUGAACAGAGAGGCGUGGUCACGACAAAGAGCCUAUCCCUCUCCUUCUCUCCAGCUGGAAUGCCGGCUGACGUGCCAACUCCCAGCAGACACUGUAAUUCAGGAACUCUGAGGCCUUCAGGGCCCCGGGCGGCUCCGGGCAGCAGCUCAGGCCCGGAGAUCGUCGAUCGAAGACCCGGAGAUACACCAGGAAGCAGUCUAGACAGCACUUCUGCAACUGUGGACAGGCGGGCCGGGUCUGAACCGACGCCGAACCAGGGCUACCACGGGGACAAUCGCUAGUGGCGGGUUUCCUGGCCCUAGGAAAGACCCACGUGGUGCAAUCGGAAGCAGGUCAGGUAGACAGCCUGAGGAGAGUUCCCAAACUGGACCAAUUUCGGGAGGAGGUGACUUCAGAUGAAGGAGGCUUGGAAGAUAUAUUGGAAGGAACUUACACAAAGUCCAGAGGCUGGACCAUAGAAGAGAGGUCAAGAUUCUGUGGAUCAGGAAUUAAGCCACGACUUGGCUUGGCAACUGGGCAAUUCUUCUGCUCCCUGUGGCAUCAUCAGUGGUCACUCAGUGGGACUCAGCUGACCGACAGAUUAGUCCAGAGGAUCCAAGACAGCUUCACACAGACCUGAAUGACUGGCUGAGCUCAGCUAGAAGUGUCUUCAGGAGUACCUGCGCAUGGCCUUGCCAGCUGGCCAGUCUCACGGCAGGCUUACCUGGCGGCUGCUCCCUCCAGAGUGAGCGCUGCAGGAGAACCAGACAGAAGCUGGCCUUUCGUGAUACAGCCGCUGAAGCCAUGUAGCAUUACUUCCUAUAAAAUGUUGGUCGAAACAGCCACAGCAUCCCAUCUGGAGUCACAGGGAGGGGACAGAGACCCACCUUUCGAUGGAAGGAAUAACAGUGACCAUUUAAAAAAAAUGCCACAAGGAUAAGUUGUUCUCAGUGCAACAAGUCCAGAGAGGUUCAGCAACUUUCCCCAAGGACAGUUACGGAUAUGAACGGUGCUAGGAAGGAAACAAAAAACAGGGUGAAAGGCAGAGAAUGAAAGGAGAUGGUGGGAAACCAGGACCUGCUGUAUAGCAGAGGGAACUAUAUUCAGUAUCCUGUGAUAAACCAUAUGGAAAAGGAUAUUAAAAAAU
Long non-coding RNA from Bos taurus (domestic cattle), 3058 nucleotides. The record is from Ensembl. Lineage: Eukaryota; Metazoa; Chordata; Mammalia; Artiodactyla; Bovidae.